This 5863-nucleotide long non-coding RNA is filed under the name Macaca fascicularis (crab-eating macaque). RNAcentral's name for it is "lncRNA (ENSMFAG00000060124.1)". The record is from RNAcentral. Lineage: Eukaryota; Metazoa; Chordata; Mammalia; Primates; Cercopithecidae.
UUUUUUUUUCUUUUUUUUUUUUAAUGAACCAAUGACUUUCUCAGGCAGAAAGAUUUGCAUCCAUGCAGAGGAAAUAGACAGGGCCAGUAAUUACAAAGCAAAAAGCAUCUGUAACUUGCAGAAAGCCAACGUAUGAAUAAGUGUUUCUAGCCAGAUAGAGGGCAAUUAUCUGGUUAUCUGUUUUUCAUAUUUCUAUCGGAGAUAAAAUCAUCUUUAGGGAAAUUUGUGGAGGGCCAUAUGAAAGAAAGUUUCCCUCUUUUGUAGAAAAGAAUUCUCUUAAAAAUUAAAACAAGUUUGGGAGGCUGGGUGAUGGAGUUUUGAGAAUUUAAAAGAGUGAGGAAGAUUGGGGGGGGCGGCGCUGGGAAGCAACUAUUUCCAGCUGCGAGAAAUCUAGCACCCUCACAGCAAGGUGCGGUGGCUCUGAUGCAAGCAACAUUCCCAUAGAUACAGGCUGCCUGGUUUUCUGUUGCUCAUUCUAAGGUGAAGAGAGGCUCAAGUCUGAUUUGGGGCUUUGACACUGAAAAAAGGUGUGAACUUCGAUCCAUUUAACCAGCCCCCUGCCCCACCUCAUCCCUUCUCCUAUCCAGUUUGCUUUCAGUGGGUCAAGAAUAAAUAUUCACCCUUGGCAUCCAUCUGCAAAUUCCAAGAGGGACUGAAGGAAGAACUUAAAGUUCCUCUGCAUGCGUUUCCAAAGCCCAGCUGGCACAGAAAACAAAUGAUACAAAAUAUGGCGGAGAAAGCACAGCCUAUCUUUGUCACCAGGUCUGGCAGAUACGGCUCUGGGCUCACAAGACAUCUGCUCCCAGCCACCUUCCUCUCUGCUUCCCUCCACUCUCCAGGCUGGAAAGUGACAAUUCCAUUGUCCUCAGUUCCCUCCAGCCAGAGGCUUGUGACCUCGUUGUGGCCUAAGCAAUAUAUCAGCAAAAGUUAGCAGAGAAGGGCUUCCCUUCCUGAAUAACAAUACCAGGCCCCACAAAAAGGAGUUGAGGCCUCCCAUGUCCUUUCUGCCUGGACAGAUCAGAGGUGCAGGCCAUCGCUCCCUGGCCUCAGCAUGGUGGGCCCAAAACAUAGGAGUGUCCUGCACCCCACUGUAUCAGCCUGGACUGCUCACUUCAGAACUCCUGUGCACCACACAGACCAGUGCCCGUCUGCUCAAGCCACCGUGCUCAGCUUUUCCCUGUGGGCAGUCAAACAUAAUUUUCAUGGGUAAACCUGAGCAAGAGCUUUACUCUCUUUCUGUCAUUGCAAUAAAAUACAUCAUUUCUGUCAUGUUUCGGAUUUAGUGUUUAUUCCUCCACCUUGGCUCCUUUCUGGCAUCAUUACUCAGUGUCAUUGCAAGAUGGGGGAGGGAGAGAAAGAGAGAGAUUCAGAGAGCCAAGAGAGCACAGGACGUGUCUCCCCAGCAAAGAGUGAAGCCUGUGCAAGAGAGAGGAUUGUGUCUGAGCUUAUUCUCCCAGCAUGUUGAAGACGACAGGAGGUUUUGAGCCCUGUUUUGUGUUCAGGAGCCAGCCUGUGGUCUCUUAAAGCACUCCCUGAUUGUGUUCAUGGUCAGCAAAGAUCUCAAAGGAAAUGCUCCCUUUUUACCCCUCCAGGACAUCCUAGUUAUUAUAUUUUUUGAGGAGGAAAAGGCCAAAAAAGACAUAACUCUUCGGCUUGGCUGGAGGCUUAGCGAAAAGGCUAAAGAAGGGGACUAGUGGCAUCUGACGGGGAGGAGCAGAGCAGGCCGAGAAACAAGAGUUGCAGAAAAAGUGUUUUGUACAUUGUAAUGUCUAUUCAGGCACCAGAGUAGCUUCUGAAGAUUUCUUGAAAAAUGGGAGUUGGAGAAAACAAUUGCAAAAAUGAGGGAAAGUAUCUUGUAUGUGUGAAAUGAUAGGAGAACUAUUUUCAAACAAAAAACAAAAUAUUUUUAAGUGGCUUUGUGUUGUUAAGAAGAUUUGUGAUGUGUUUUAUGGUACCUCUUUCCGAUGCAUGUAAAGAUUUCCAACAGGAACUUGGUAAUUUGGAUGCAAGCUUGUCUAGAAUAUUAUUAGCCCAUUUUGCAGAACUCAGAUGAGACACAAAGACAUCUAUUGACUCAUCUAGGUCACUAGGAAGUUACCUGAGAAACUGAAAAUUUGCUUGAGUUUCCUGUGUGGGCCUCCUCCGCUGCCUCCAACAAGACAAGCCAUCAAAGCUACUUUCAUGUCUGGGCUUUGACAAAGAACAUGAUCAAAAGUGUCCCCAAGGAGCAGGGGAAACGGGAGUCUCUCAGAGGCCCAGAGAACCUGCUCAUAGUUACACAGGAAAAAUGGCUUUUUCCUUAAGGAUAGCCUUGGAGAAAAUAAAGCUACACCAGCAGUCUCAAUGAAGAGACACAUCUCUGUUGUCCUUGUGUGUUCAGACCAAAGACUUUAGCAUGACAUCGUGCCCCAAGUAGCCUCCGUAUUUAAAAUCAAAACUUGUUAAGUUGAAUUUCCUAAAGGGCUCUUGCUCUUUUUCCACAAGGAAGGAAGGCUGACCUGCUGUUGAAAAGCCCUUAGGGUGAGUUACCCACCACCAUCCAUGCCCAUGUGGGAUCCUGCGGCUCUAACUUUGCCCAGGCUGUACUCUCAGCCUAGAUCACUCUUCCUUCUUUUCUUUGUUCGCACCUUCCCCUCCUCCAACUCCUGUGCCCCUCUCUCCAGCGAGCCUCCCGUAAUGUCCUCCAGGGCAUUGUGACCUCUUCCUCCCCAGAGCAGACAGGGGUUGACUGGCUGCCAUCUUAGAUAACUGAACAUUGAUAGCCACCGUUCAGAUUUAUUGCUUGCUUUAUAUGGCUGGGCAAAGCACCUUACACAGAUUAAUUUGGUCCACACAGCUACCUUAAUAACAGGUACUAUUGCUACCCUUACUCUGCAGAUGAGGAAACUGAGGCUCAAGAGAGAAACUCUAUAUGCUAUUUGAUGAAAGUCAGAAAAAAGUAAAGAAAGAAAAGGCCAUCAUUGUGUCAUCUGAGUACAUUCCCUGCACGGACCUCCUGCCAUUGCUUUCUCUAAUAUCAGGUGCUCUUAUUCCUCCAGACUCUUCCCCCUAGGCCUUGGGCUCCUUAUUACAGUCUGUGUGUGCACAACAGCCGUGCAGCCCUCCUUUGUCCCAGCAUCUCACCAGGCUUGAUUUCUCAGUAAAGGGCUACAUCUUUUCUGAGCACACCUUUCGGAUCUAUUUUGAGAGAAUGUAGGAACGUCUCAGCUACUCAUUUGCUUUCAAAAGCUCAAAAAAGCUCCUUGCCAUUCGGAAUCAGGUCAGCUGCUGCUUCCAAAGGUGCUUCUGCUACGGGUUGCUCCGUGCCCCUGUACUUGGUGUGUGAGCAGCUGUGGGGCCUCCUACAGACCCCUAAACCCCACUAGUAAAGUGAGUCUGAAGUACAAAGACAAUCCUCCUGAAGAAAGCAGAGCCAAGAGAUGGUUUCUUCGGGGGAACCGCCAUUUGCUCUUUUAACACUUAAACAUUUCAAAAUUACUUGUCAUUUUCUAAAGCUUCUUAGCGUGCAAAAAGUCUAAAUGGCAAAGGCAUGAUUGUGAGUUUAGAUAGUUUUAUCACACCUUUUUUUUUUUUUCAUAGUUUCAAAAUGUGUGGGCAGUUUCAGAUGUGAAACUCCACCUCACAAAUGAGGAACCAGAGUCUGAUUCUUCAACAUCCAGGAGGGCAGCCAGGAUGCCCCAUCCCACAGUUUCCUUGUGGGCCAGGGUGAGUCAGAUUUGCUAAGACCCACUGUUAGGGACUGCACUAUGUCUCCCCAGAAUUAAUAUAUUGAAGUCCUAACCCCAAAGUGCUCAUAAUUUGACUCUAUUUGGACAUAGGGUUUUACAAUGAUGUCAUUAGGCUAGCCCCAAUACAAUGCAAUUGGUAUCUUUAUAAGAAGAGAUUAGGAUACAGCACACACAGAGGGAUAACCAUGUGAUGAAACAGGGAGAAGGCAGCUUUCUGCAAAACCAAGGAGAGAGGCCUCACCAGAAACCAGCCUUGCCCACACCUUGAUCUCAGACCUCCAGCCUCCCUCCAAAACGGUGCGAAAAUAAAUUUCUGUGGCUUAAGCCUGAACUCUUAAGAUCUUCAGAUCUUAAGAGUUCAGGCAAGCCAGAAGAAGUGUCUUAAUAAAUAUUCUUCUGAAAAGAGCGGCAAGCUGAUGCUUAGAGAAGAACAUACUUUAUAUAUGCAGCUUUGUACUCGGCAAUUCCCUUUGAAAGACUGCUUCAGUGGGGUAAACUUGAACCACUGAGAAGACGAGCAGGGAGUCGGUCUCGCUGAGAUUUUUACCUGUGGUUCUAGGAACGCAGAGGCAUGUGAGUGUUCAGGCUUUGCAUAGACCACUAAGCCACUUCUAAGAACAAGGCUACCUGAGCCAUUUUGCAAAAAUAUGUACAUGCUGAGGCUUUUCCUCUCCACACCUACCUCAACUCUUUCUGCCGACACACUGCACUUUUCAAGGGAACCUAAGUUUGGGUUCAGCAAGCAUUUUACAUGGCACGCCAUGUGUGAUAAUUCCAGGAAAUUUCAAUCGCAUCUUGUCUUCUUUCCUAAGCAAAUUCGGUGGGAACCUGGUGUGGUGUGAUAGAAAAAGCCCCGAGUUUUCUGUGGUAGACCACAUCAAUUUCAUGUGCCAGCCUCUUAGACUCCGGCUUGCCUCUCUCAAGGAAGGGAACAAUGGUUUGCUUGGGUUCACUCCUCUCUUUCCCCCCAUUUCCACACGGGUAUCUGGCUGAAAAUGAGUUACAGGUUUCCUUCUGUGAGAAUUGCAUGGGCUGAUAAAGUACCAUCCCGGGAAGAAAACAAAGAUGCUGUCUUCCCUUUCGGCUCCCAGUUGCCGUUGGGGAGGGAACACACGUUGUAAAUUAUAGGCAGCCAGAAGUGACCGCAUUGACCACUGCGAGUGGCCCAGCUAUGGCAACAGGCUGAGAACUCUGGGGGAGAGCCAUUUGUUGGCAGGGAUGGUGGUUCUUCUAGCAUCAGGCUCUAAGACGAUGACCAAACGGUACCAAAAGAAAUGAUAUUUUGCCACCUCUCUGGCUCCGGUGAAUGAUGUGGACAGCUAACCUGGACAAUUUAAACCUUUCUGUUGAUGGAUCACUUGGAUGAAAUUCACCAGGAAAUUGCCAAGAUUUCACCCGGCCCUCUGAUAGCAAAUCUCAAUAUUAUAUUAUCAAAUUAGAGAUUCUAAAGAACCCUGAGUUCCUUUCACUGAAAGGAAGGAGUGGAAAAACCUUUCCAGAUUAGCCCUUUUGAGUCUUGGUGUGAGCUCAGGCCCUCCCUACACUGCCCCCGUGAAAAAUAACCGACCUUCGUUCCUAAUCAAGGGCAGGUCAGCGGAGUGUCCACUGGGCAUAGGAGCCCUGGGCUUGUCUGGGAGACAGCGGCACUCCUGCUAUUUCCUGAUGUCUGCACGGGUCACCGUGUCCCUCACCAUCUUUGCUGUUGGCCAGUAAGGAGAGCCCAGGGGCCAGCACUGCACACUGAAAUCCAACCUAUUGCUCAAUGGAAUGCUUAAAAAUUUCCUGAAUCUGCCUUCCUGAGUUGAUAAAAUAGGAAACAAUACACGUUCCGAGGGGGUAUUGAAAGUGGAGUAAAGUCAGGAAGAUCUUUCUUUCUGUUAUUCAACAAAUAUUGCUUCCUCUGCUUGUUAGCAGCCCAGAGGAAAUGCAGCCAGGGAGCCGUUUGCAGCUCUUUACCAGUGGCCGGUGUGUCUGUGUUACCAACCGAACGACGCUGCAAGACUAGUGACUAAUGCAUGUCUGCAUGAUUCAACUUCACUAAAAUUCCCUCUGCUGCCAGUAAAGAAGCACUUGAAAACUCUUUAAUUUGAAACUUGAGCUGGUUAAUGACUUGCUUUCUUCUCUUUCCCUUUAAC